GAAUUCACUAGUGAUUGAGUUUGAUCCUGGCUCAGAACGAACGCUGGCGGCAGGCCUAACACAUGCAAGUCGAGCGCAGUCCUUCGGGACCGAGCGGCGGACGGGUUAGUAACGCGUGGGAACGUACCCAGAUCUAAGGAAUAGCCUCGGGAAACUGAGAGUAAUACCUUAUACGCCCUUCGGGGGAAAGAUUUAUCGGAUUUGGAUCGGCCCGCGUUAGAUUAGAUAGUUGGUGGGGUAAUGGCCUACCAAGUCUACGAUCUAUAGCUGGUUUUAGAGGAUGAUCAGCAACACUGGGACUGAGACACGGCCCAGGCUCCUACGGGAGGCAGCAGUGGGGAAUAUUGCACAAUGGGGGCAACCCUGAUGCAGCCAUGCCGCGUGUGUGAAGAAGGCCUUCGGGUUGUAAAGCACUUUCAGUUGUGAGGAAAGGUUAGUAGUUAAUACCUGCUAGCUGUGACGUUAACAACAGAAGAAGCACCGGCUAACUCCGUGCCAGCAGCCGCGGUAAUACGGAGGGUGCGAGCGUUAAUCGGAAUUACUGGGCGUAAAGCGCACGCAGGCGGUCUGUUAAGCUAGAUGUGAAAGCCCCGCGCUCAACGUGGGAGGGUCAUUUAGAACUGGCAGACUAGAGUCUUGGAGAGGGGAGUGGAAUUCCAGGUGUAGCGGUGAAAUGCGUAGAGAUCUGGAGGAACAUCAAUGGCGAAGGCAACUCCCUGGCCAAAGACUGACGCUCAUGUGCGAAAGUGUGGGUAGCGAACAGGAUUAGAUACCCUGGUAGUCCACACCGUAAACGCUGUCUACUAGCUGUUUGUGGAUUUAAUCCGUGAGUAGCGAAGCUAACGCGAUAAGUAGACCGCCUGGGGAGUACGGCCGCAAGGUUAAAACUCAAAUGAAUUGACGGGGGCCCGCACAAGCGGUGGAGCAUGUGGUUUAAUUCGAUGCAACAGACAGAGAGAACCUUACCUACUCUUGACAUACUAGAAACUUUCAGAGAUGAAUUGGUGCUCGGAUCUGAG
Molecule: ribosomal RNA, 1019 nt
Filed under: uncultured Alteromonas sp.
Lineage: Bacteria; Pseudomonadati; Pseudomonadota; Gammaproteobacteria; Alteromonadales; Alteromonadaceae
Description: bacterial SSU rRNA
Rfam family: Bacterial small subunit ribosomal RNA
Source: RNAcentral